Prosopis cineraria is the source of this 4943-nucleotide long non-coding RNA. RefSeq lists it as uncharacterized. The transcript is spliced from 2 exons. The record is from RefSeq and is a predicted model, not a curated record. NCBI's taxonomy places the organism in Eukaryota, Viridiplantae, Streptophyta, Magnoliopsida, Fabales, Fabaceae.
UUGGGAUUGAGCCAUAUGGUUAGAGUUAGGGUUCGAGAAGUGAGGAUGUGGAAAGCUCUAAGUGUUCAACUUGACCCAUCAGGUGCGACAUUAGGUUCGAAGACAAGACGCAAAGCCUUUAAGGGUGCGAGUCAUGGUUUGAAGAGGGUCUAAGUUCGAGGCUUCAAAAAGUGUGCGAGUCAUGGUUUGGAGAGAAAUUAAGUCAUGGUGAGCAUAUGAGCAAUUGAAUAUUUAGGGUUUCGUCAAGAGUACAUCAUAGUAAAUCGCCGGCUUUUAUAGGUAAGGAAUAAUCUCACCGUCUCAAGGAUUUUAUUAGCACAGUGAUUGUCCCUUAAAGCCCCUAUCUUUUUCCAUUUUAGCAUUACCUAUUGAGAUGGCUGAUAAAAGGGAAGGGGGUAUCGAAUAGAACAUAAAUAGAUACUUUGAGGCAAUUGAUAGUAUUACCCAAGUAUGGUUUGAGGUGAGAGAUCAACUUCGAGAAGGGUAUGACUCAGUAGUUGAUGACAUUUUAGUUGAUGCCAAUAGAAAGAGUAAGGGAAAUGAAGGUGAAGGCAGUAGAGGUAAUCAAAAGAUUGUUGAAACUGGUGAGUGUUCUCAAGGUAAACAGAAAGUGGGAGACGUUGAAAAUGUCUUUGUUGACUGUGAUGAGGGACGAAUUUCUUAUGACUAUGAGGAUUGUGCUAAUGAGGAUGAGGAGACAAAUGUCGUUGACAAUGUUGAAGGGAGGGUCGAGGUGACUAAUUUGUUUAAUAAUAAUAGAUGAAUCAAGAAAUGAGGAUGAGGAUUUCAUUUGGGGAAAAGAAAAUGAGGACUCGUAUGUUGAAUAUUCAAACAAUGGUUAUGAGAAAGAUAAGCUGGAUAGUGAAAUAGGCCUAGAUGAUGAUUAUAGGCCUACGGAAGAAGAACGAAGGCCUGUAGAUGAGUUUGGAUAUGAUUCUAGGCCCAUUUUCAUGGUGGGUCAAACAUUUGUAGACAAGGAUAAGGCAUAUAGGGCUGUUAAUAGGUAUGCAAUUAGGGAGGGGGUGCAUUUGAAGAUGAAGAAAAGUGAGCACUUUAGAUUAAAGGUAUGUGUCAAAAGAUGGAUUAAACCCCGGAAUGAUGGUAAAGACACUAUGUUUGAAGCAUAUGUAUAAUAGGGUUUAUAAGAACCUAACGGCAUCAACAAAAGUGGUUAGCUUCAUACUUCAAGAACAAGGUGCAAGAGAGGACUUGAUACAAGAUCUCAAAUAUGAAGAAGGAUAUGGAGGAUGAAUUGAAACUACAUGUCAGCUUACACAAAUGCAAGCGUGCUACAAGGAUAGUCAUAGAGGAAAUGAAGGGAAAAUAUAGGGAUGAGUUAGAAGCUUAUUGUAUGAGGUUAAAUCUUCUAACCUAGGUUCAGAUCUUAGUGUUAAAGUCAGCAAAGAGUAUUUGUAGAAUGUCAAAAGGGAUUUUAAUAAACUAUACUUGUGCUUUGAUGCUUUAAAGGUUGGUUGUUGACCAAUUAUUUGUCUUGAUAGGACUUUCCUCAAAGGCCAUGCUCGAGGUAUUCUGCUCACUAGCACUAGAAUAGAUGAUGAUGAUGGUUUGUUCCCUAUUGUAUUCAUUCUAACUCAAAAACAAAAUACUGUGAACUGGAUCUAGUUCAUACAAUGGUUCUAAAAGUCAUUAGACCUUGGGGAUGGGCUUAAGGUUAUUAUAAUGUCAGACAUCUUAAAGGUAUUUUUUUUGUAUUGUUUUGGGCUUUAUUUUUUCCUUGCAUUUUAUUUUCUAUAUUAAUUAAUGAACUGGAACACUAUUUUACAAUUCUACAUCUUAGUUUUUAAGAAUAAGAAUGCCCUAUUUUGUGGAAAAAAUUUGAUUACCUGCUAUACUCUAUUUGAAGUUCCCUUCCUGUUUUACGAAGAGGAAGCUUUUGGAGUAAAUUUCUCUAUUAAUUACACAAGUGUUUAAUUACACUUUCUCCCCAAAAGUCGUUGUUCUUUUAGAACCAAGAUGAUGAUAUUAUAGUUUUCACUCGUGUGACCUACCUACUUUCAUUAGCAUUCAUUCAUUUUUACAGAACUGUCCUUAGUGCAGUUGCUCUUUUUGGGUGGGAAGAAACUUAUCAUUUUAGAUGCAUCUCAUUUUAAGUAAUAAAUAAUUAACUUGAAUUAAUGAAAAAUUAGGAUAUAGAAUUUCAUAUAUAGUUUCAAUAGCCUGUGGUGCUAAUUCCAUAUUAUUGCUGAAUUACCUAGUUGAAAAUUGCAUAGCAGCCAGUGAUACAUCCUGUUUAUGUUUUUCUAACUGCUUGUAUGACAAAAUUGCAUAUAUCUACUUGAAAAUUUUGACUACAUAAAAUUACUAUAACCUUUUAUAUUAUUUAAUAGCCCUUCUAACCACCUCUUUAUUUUCCGUAACCAUAUUAUUCUAGUCCAUCAAUUUAUAGAUAAAUAGGCUUGAUAAUCACCCAUCACAAAAUCUAAACGCUCACAUUCUCUUUGUCUUGUUAAAUUAAUCAUUAUUUGUAUUGCAUAUUCUGUCCUGUAUUGAUCUAAUUUUAGUGUUGAUUUAUUCAAGGCUUGAUAGAUACUGUUUAGAGUAUACCUCCAAAGGUCGAGUAUAGACUAUGUGCUAGGCAUAUCUAUGCCAAUUGGAUCAAGAGAUGGAAAGGCAAUAACUUGAAGAAGAAGUUUUUCACUUGUGUAUGGAAUACGUUUGAGGAGAAAUUUAAGGACAAUUUGAAAGCAUUGGGCAGCUUAAGUGAGCAAGUAGUUGAGGUAGCAUUUCCUUAUUCUCCAAACAGUUAGGUAAGAGCAUGCUUUAGUACUAGAUGUUUAUCGUGAAAUGUUGACAACAAUGUUAGUGAAAGCCUCAAUGCAUGGAUAAAUGACAUUAGGCAUUUGUUUGUCCUUAGAAUGUUAGAUGGAAUUAGGAUUAAAAUAGUAGGGAAAUAGGCUGAGGCUGCAAAUAGAAAAGUAAAAUGGAAAUUUUAGCCCUGAAUGUGUGGGAAUGUUUGAAACAAACAAUCAUCUAGCAGCAACUUGUAGGGUCUCUUUUAAUGGUGAUAAAGGUUAUGAGGUCACCGAGGGUUCUGAUAGAUAUACAGUGUUUCUAAACACUAAGAAGUGCACUUGUAGAAUUUGGGAUCUCACAAGAAUACCUUGUUAACAUGUCAUUUGUGCACUUUGAGAUGCAAAGCUAGAUCCAAGCACUUAAAUCUCUCAUUACUAUAACAAAAGCACAUGUGUUGCUAAUUAGAGGAGUAAGCUACAACCUGUAACAGGAAAGCAAUUUUGAAAGGCAGAUCAAUUUGAUCUUAUGGAACCACCAUCAUUGGUUAAAAUGCCUGGCCGACCUAAGAUAAAAAAGAUUGAGGAUUGGAGAACAAAUAAGAAGGGUCAUUAGUGCUAGCCAGCAGACAGAGGCAUCAUAUUCCCUUGCCAUCCCUAAGAAAUUAAGUAAGAAAGGCAAGCGUAUAACAUGCACCAUUUGUAAAGGAGUUGGCUAUAAUAGAGCAACAUAUACAAAAGUAUGUGUCAUAGCAUUUAUUGUCUUAAUUUAUUUUACUGGUUAUGAUUGAUUCAUUUAAUUGGUUAUGCAGAAACAUAUAUGAGUUCACAAGGUAGAGGAAGUGUUACCUCCUUGUCAUCUCAAGCAGGCAAUGAAACAGCCCAAAAAUUUGCACCACGUUGAGAGGGCAUUUUAUAAGACUAGAAAUGACAGUGGUAUGGGAAUAAGAGUAGAUUGGACACUGGGAGGACUGUUUACAAUGUAUGUUUAUGUGUUAAGUUAGUUUUGGUCAUUGGAGUAGAUUUGCUGCUCAUCAUGUGUUAACUUUGAUUGAUUUAUGUUUCCUUGCAACUUGGGAUGCGUUCAGAGGUAGUUAUUAAAGAGGGCACAUGGCAGGAGUAUCUGCAAAAUUAUGCUGAUCCUGAGACACACUUUCCCAUCCCUCAUAAGAGAGAAAUGAGAAGACACACAGUGCAAGGUAGUACAAUUGAGAAAAGCUCUAGAAAGAUUAGAUUCAGCAAUGACAAGAGUCCUUCACAGUUUCCUUUUAAUCCACCAAAGCUAACGUGGAGAAGACAUCCCAGUGUUACAACCUCCCAUCUUAUGGCUCAGAGAGGGGAAAAAAAAAGAAUUGGACAAUUGAGAUUUAGGUCUACCUGUGGCAGCAUUUGAUAUGGCAACUUAGAAUCCCAGUAGUAGUAUCUAAUUAGGAUCUUUUGCUUUAUUAACAUUUGUAGUAUGACUUUUGUUAACUUUAUGCAAGACUGUCAUAAUUUAUAAUUUUGGAUUAUAAAAUUGUUGCCAUUUUAGGGCUAUGUGAAUAGCUCUAGUAUGAACUUUAGGCUAUAAUUUUGGAUUGUCAAAACUAACUUACCUUUUAGAUGGUGGCUAUGUGGUGCCAACUUGGAAUGUUAAUGGAAUGUCUCGUCAGUAUGUUACCUAACAUCCUUUAACCUUAAUAUGUAGAAGUAGAAAUUAUAAUUAAUGAUAGAAAGACUAGUUCCUUUAAACAUGUCAGUUUUGGUGUGAGAACCUCGAUAUUAUAUUGUUUCUCCCUACAUCCAGUUGCACCAGUUGCUAAAUUUAUAGAUUAGUCUUAUAGGUUAUGACUUGUUCCUCCUUAGGUUCAUCUACAUGUAAGAUUGUAUUUAUUGCUCUUUUUGUUGGAAUUGAAGACAGUUACAUGAUGCUCCUAGCACAAAGAUAGCAUGCAUUGCUAAUAGCCAUCGAUUUCUAAGAUUGCUUGUUAUUUUCAUUUUUUCUGACUGGAGUUUAGUAUUGUCUUUCCUAGGCAUGCUCAUUACUAGACAAGAAUUACACCAUUAGCUUUGGUUUAUAGUGGUGAAAAAUGUAGUCAAUAUGUUAUUGACACAAAUAAUGAAGGACAAGUUCCAAGCCAACAGCAAGUGUUGUCAAAAGUUUCCUUUUAUUACUACUUAUUCUUUCAAUGAAUAUUCUUUUAUGGAUCCUUA